Molecule: transfer RNA, 81 nt
Filed under: Eubacterium sp. CAG:841
Lineage: Bacteria; Bacillati; Bacillota; Clostridia; Eubacteriales; Eubacteriaceae
Rfam family: tRNA
About the family: Transfer RNA (tRNA) molecules are approximately 80 nucleotides in length. Their secondary structure includes four short double-helical elements and three loops (D, anti-codon, and T loops).
Source: Rfam by way of RNAcentral
GCCCGAAUAGCUUAAUGGCAGAGCGUUGUAAUUUAGUUAAUCAGAAUUCCAAAGGUGUCGGUCUGAAUCCGUCUUAGGGCA